GAUGAACGCUGGCGGCGUGCCUAACACAUGCAAGUCGAGCGAUCUUCUUCGGAAGAGAGCGGCGGACGGGUGAGUAACGCGUGGGUAACCUGCCCUGUACACACGGAUAACAUACCGAAAGGUAUGCUAAUACGGGAUAACAUAUUUUUAUCGCAUGGUAAAAAUAUCAAAGCUCCGGCGGUACAGGAUGGACCCGCGUCUGAUUAGCUAGUUGGUAAGGUAACGGCUUACCAAGGCGACGAUCAGUAGCCGACCUGAGAGGGUGAUCGGCCACAUUGGAACUGAGACACGGUACCAAACUCCGUACGGGAGGCAGCAGGUGGGGAAUAUUGCAACAAGUGGGACGAAAGCCUGAUGCAGCAACGCCGCGUGAGCGAUGAA
Molecule: ribosomal RNA, 381 nt
Filed under: uncultured bacterium
Lineage: Bacteria
Description: bacterial SSU rRNA
Rfam family: Bacterial small subunit ribosomal RNA
Source: RNAcentral